GGCGGUGUGCCCGAGUGGCCAAAGGGAGCAGACUGUAAAUCUGCCGGCUCAGCCUUCCCAGGUUCGAAUCCUGGCGCCGCCA
Molecule: transfer RNA, 82 nt
Filed under: Streptomyces sp.
Lineage: Bacteria; Bacillati; Actinomycetota; Actinomycetes; Kitasatosporales; Streptomycetaceae
Also listed under: 36 other names
Description: tRNA-Tyr
Rfam family: tRNA
About the family: Transfer RNA (tRNA) molecules are approximately 80 nucleotides in length.
Source: RNAcentral